AUAUUUCAUACAUAGAAUAUUUAAAUAUUCUCUUCAUUUUUAUCUGUAAAAGGAAUUUAAAAAUUUGAAACAACUGAAUUUUUUAAUCAUAUUGCAUGAGCAUUUUAUAAUGAGAACAAUUUGGCAUCAAUCCAGAUAUGAAGCUGCUAGAGCGUUGAAGUUUAAAUACAGUCUUUAAUUAGAUAUACAUAUAUAUAUACAUGAGAUAUACAUGAUUAUAGUUUAUUUAUAUAAACUAAUAUUUAUAUAAACAAUAGUUAAUGUUUAAUAUAUCUAAUAAAAUAUAAUAUUUGGA
Molecule: long non-coding RNA, 295 nt
Organism: Bombus huntii
Lineage: Eukaryota; Metazoa; Arthropoda; Insecta; Hymenoptera; Apidae
Exons: 2
Source: RefSeq, a predicted model, not a curated record